This 1382-nucleotide long non-coding RNA is filed under the name Nicotiana benthamiana. Its description in RNAcentral is "long non-coding RNA (NBEN_LNC021728)". The record is from RNAcentral. Lineage: Eukaryota; Viridiplantae; Streptophyta; Magnoliopsida; Solanales; Solanaceae.
AUGUAGUACCAAUCAGGGUCAUAUGGAGCAAGCUCUUUGAGUUUACCAGUCUUGACGAGAUCAGUCCACUCAGGGAGCUCCAUCUGCAUAAAGCAAAGGUAAUAAGCAAAAACAGACGAGCACAAUAACCAUAAUAUUCAACUGACGCUUCAAAGAAAUUGCAGCAGUAACAUUGCCUGGAAUCCCAGAAUCUAACUAUAAAGAGUAGGAUAUACCCUUUAUGCUAGGUCUAUAAAGCCAGUUAAAGCACAAUGUCCACUUCACAAAAGAAAUAACUUGCAGUAAAAUAGUUCAGAAUUUGCUCUUAAAUAUAGCAAACAAUGAACUCAUUCAAGAUGAACAAUUAGAAUAUACAAACCUAAAACAAAAAUUAUCCUUAGGUAUCCCUUCUCUGCAGACUUAAGCAUAUAGACGACGCAGACUCACUCAAUCUAUGUAAUAUCAGAUUAAGCAAGCAGUCUAGGAUUCAAUCUCACAGACACCAAUACAACAACUACUAGACUUCAAACAAGUUUCAUCAACACCAACAAAUAGAAUAUUUCCAUGUACUUGAUUCAAGAAAAAGAAUCAAGCCACUGCUGCAAACCUAAAGAAGUAAACAAAAGUGUCCCAUCUCUAACAAUUUUAGUUGUUAUAGACAUCCGAAUAGCACUCAACAAGUUUCAUUGCUGUAUCUACUUAUACUCUCCAAGAACUAGUUUUUUCUACCUUAAUCUUUCAGUAAAUAUCUAAACAAGACAGACUAAAUUAAGCACCAGUGUGCUACAAACAGCACUAAACCAAAUGCAAGUUUAAAUCAGAAACAUCUUUAUUUAACUAAAAAUGCCUUUUGCUAAUACCAACAAAUAGUUACAGAAAACUUUUCCAUAAGUCUGCAUAUCACAUGAAGAAGAUUAUCAAAAGUAAGUUGGUUCUUUCGUAUUAGUUAGUUAAUUACUGACUAUCAAAUGCUCAAUGACGAACUAAUAUGAAACCUAUCGCAGUAAGGAAUUUCUAUAGAAAAUUUUAUACACCAAAAUCGAAGCUAAUAAGUAGAAACAAAUAAGGAGCAUAGAAAACUCAUGAUUAUACACAAAUUCUACAUAUUCAUGAGGGUACUAAGCGAGCAUUGCACAUCACAAGAGCCAUUAUCAAUCAUUGAACACAUAAAUGAAUGAAUCUAUAUACGCAAAUACAUAUAUACAUUCAAAGCAUAUACCUUGCCGGAGCGCUUAAGGUGAGUUGCAUAAGCCUUCACAAAUUCGUGAGGGGAAACAUCUUUCACAGUUCUCGCUGCCUCCAUCUUCACUUCUGCUGCUGUUGCGGCGCUGAUGCAGAUCUCUCUUCACGUUGCUCCCGCGAGGGUUUUUUUGUAAGAGAAAAGAAGUAAGAUGGGAUGCUAG